UUUUAAUUAAAAGCUCUAGGCUUUGCCUAAUAAAGCUAAUAAUUAAAAAGUGGUGUACAGGUGAGUAUAAUAAUAUUUUAUGCCGACCUUAAAGUGAGAUAAAUUCUUCAUAUAAUAAAGGGAUUAAGUAUUCCCGCUUUAAGAGGACGAUAAAUAUUUUCGGGAUAGGUAGUAGUGAAGGUUACGUCUUCACUAGCCUUAACUCUCGUAGUCGAAGCUGAAAGGUUAAUCGACCACAUUGGGUCUGAAAAAAGCCCAAUGCAAGUUAGUACAGCAGUGAGGAAUAUUGGUCAAUGGCCUAACGGCUGAACUGGCAACUUGGAGAAGUGUUAAGUCUUUAUUUUUGUGCUAUAGCUAUUUUUAUAAUAGUGUGAAUUAAGCAAAAUUAAAGAUUAAAUUAGUAUUGAAUGAAACUUUGUUUAUAUAUCGAUAAUGACGAUAUAUAUAUUAUGUCUUGACCAAUUACGUGCCAGCAGUCGCGGUAAUACGUAAGAGACUAGUGUUAUUCAUCUUAAUUAGGUUUAAAGGGUACUCAAACGGUCGAUCAAAUGACUAGAGUUAUAUAGAAGAAGGUAGUACCUUAAGUGUAGAGAUUAUAUUUGGUUAUACUGGAGGGACUUAGAAAAGGCGUAGGCAACCUUCUAAGUAAUAACUGACGUUGAAGGACGAAGGCAUAGGUCACGAACAGGAUUAGAUACCCAAGUAGUCUUUGCAGUCAAUGAUGAAUGCCAUAGGUUAGAUAAAAAUUUAGUCUAUAAAUGAAAGUGUAAGCAUUUCACCUCAAGAGUAAUGUGGCAACGCAGGAACUGAAAUCACUAGACCGUUUCUGACACCAGUAGUGAAGUAUGUUGUUUAAUUCGAUGAUCCACGAAAAACCUUACCACAAUUUGUAUAUUUUACAGGAGUUGCACGGCUGUCUGCAGUUGAUGUUGUGAAACUGUGGUUUCCAUGAAUUAACACUAUCCCUUGCUUUAUUUUUGUAAGGCUAGUGCUUCUCACUAUUUUUUAAUAAAAAUAGCGAGCUAUAGCUUAGCCUAUUAAUUACUAUAAAGCAUUUGACUCAAGAAUAUGGGAAGAAAAAAGGGAGUAAGACAAGUCAUCAUGGCCUUAAUAUUGUGGGCUAUAGACGUGCCACAUAAGCCUAUACAAAGAGAUGCGAAAAUGUGAAUUCUAGCAAAUCUCCAAAAUAGGAAAUAAAAAGGAUUGUAGUCUGAAAUUCGACUAUAUGAAUAAGUAAUUACUAGUAAUCGUGAAUCACCAUGUCACGGUGAAUGUUUCUCGGAUUGGUACUAACCACUCGUCGCAUGCUGAAAGGAGUUUAUACAAUAAGUUUGCUCUUUUAUAGUAACAAAAUAAAAUAAUUAGAUUUUAUAAAUAUUAUUAUAGAAUUCUUCGUAUGUAUAGCUCUAAUUAGUGUU
Molecule: ribosomal RNA, 1418 nt
Filed under: Cordyceps militaris
Lineage: Eukaryota; Fungi; Ascomycota; Sordariomycetes; Hypocreales; Cordycipitaceae
Description: SSU rRNA
Rfam family: Bacterial small subunit ribosomal RNA
Source: RNAcentral